CAACCUCGUGCGGGAGAGUCCCGGUGCCGACCAGGCCCCGGGCGCCGAAGGAGCAACUCCUCCCCGGAAUCUCUCAGGCCCCUGUACCGCGCGGGGAAG
Molecule: non-coding RNA, 99 nt
Filed under: Streptomyces sp.
Lineage: Bacteria; Bacillati; Actinomycetota; Actinomycetes; Kitasatosporales; Streptomycetaceae
Also listed under: 1 other name
Description: Glycine sequence
Rfam family: Glycine riboswitch aptamer
About the family: This family represents the bacterial glycine riboswitch. Glycine riboswitches usually consist of two metabolite-binding aptamers domains with similar structures in tandem. The aptamers cooperatively bind glycine to regulate the expression of downstream genes.
Source: RNAcentral